UGUUUUAAUUCGAUGCUAAGUGAAGAACCUCACUAGGGCUUGACUUGUGGCAUAUCCUCUUGAAAGAGAGGGGUAUCUUCAAUAAAGCGGACAUACAGGUGGUGCAUGGCUUUUGUCAGCUCAUGCCAUAAGGUGUUGGGUUAAAUUCUUCAACGAGUGCAAUCUUCACGUUUAGUUCUCAUUGUUGAGUUUGGAAUUCUCAUUAAGCACCACAUUAAUGAGAAUAUAGGCAAGAAGGGACGGUACCAAAAAGCCAUAUAAAAGCA
Molecule: non-coding RNA, 266 nt
Filed under: Nicotiana attenuata
Lineage: Eukaryota; Viridiplantae; Streptophyta; Magnoliopsida; Solanales; Solanaceae
Description: Bacterial small subunit ribosomal RNA
Rfam family: Bacterial small subunit ribosomal RNA
Source: Rfam by way of RNAcentral